Long non-coding RNA from Mauremys reevesii (Reeves's turtle), 1249 nucleotides. RefSeq lists it as uncharacterized. Lineage: Eukaryota; Metazoa; Chordata; Testudines; Geoemydidae. The record is from RefSeq and is a predicted model, not a curated record. The transcript is spliced from 2 exons.
AUUCCAAGAAAGAGGCAACCAGUCUCCCUAAUGCAAAGCAGAGCAGUUCUGCAGCUUGAGAGGACAAGCUUCCAUUGUUGAGGGGACCCCUGAUAUUGGAAACUGGAUCCAGGUGCAGCUCCUCCCAAAGUAUAUAAUGGUCUCUCUGUAAACCAGUACCCAUCUGAGAUAGCCAGAUGGGCAAGGAACCAGCCACCAGCACUAUAUAGCAGAGAUGGACUAGUAGGGGACCUCAGAGCUCCUGUUCCCUAAGAAAGAGAAAUAAUCAGAACCAGGAAGAGUCCACUUAUUGACUCAAAUUCCAUUUGGAAGUGGAGCUCUCAGCUGCUUGGCCAGCAGCUCCCCAUUUUGUGAACAGAAUAUUCACCACCCCCACUCAGCAGCCAAGGAUGGGACAUGGAACGAAAGCUUCAUCAAAAGAAAAAACCAGCUGAUCAAUACCUUACGCCAUUUCCCAGAUAGCUCAGCUUUGUCCCAUAAAAUCCAGGCCCUAGUGAAAACAUGCCCCCACCCAAAGAGCGUCUCUCGGCGUCUUGCUUUUCCAUGCUCCCUUGGCAUUGCUUUGGGCUCUCAGAACACUCCUAGAAACACAACCCAUUCCUUCCCCAUCCACACUCACACACUGGCUUCUGUUUCAGCAAAGCAGGUGGAGAAUUUUGGCUGCAACCAGCCAAGCCAUAUAAAGUGUUGAGGGUGAGUCUGAUCCUUGCUCUCUCAUCAGGAAGAGCAUGCCAGCUAACGUGGUUUGAGUAUAUCAGGCCAUCAGAGCCAGUGUCUGGCUCAAGCUUGAUUGAACUCCUCAAGACAGGUUUCCUCUCUAGAAUACUGCUCAGAACCCUGGCUGCCUGGAGACCAUCAAGCAAAGAUCUAAAUGUUUCUAGAGAAAGAGUCCUUUCAGCCUGUAGAGUCAAGAAAGGCUGCUCUGCUGUCAUGAGUUCCACUGAUCUCCCUGUCACCCCCCACCUGCUCCCAGUGACCUUCUAAAAAUGAAAAGUUUUCAUGACACUGGGAGGCUCUCAGCUGAGGACAUCACUGUGCUUUACAUACCCUCGUUGUCCCAGCACCCUGUGAGCUCAGUAAGCAUGAGCCCAUUUUACACAUGGGGAAGGGGGCUCUGUGCCUCCAUUUCCCUAAGGGUCGGACAAUGGCAGUGCUGGGAGUACAAUGGAAAAGUCCUGAUUUCCACCUGUGCAGUCCCACCACUGUGAAUGUCCCACAUUUUUUUUCCUCCAGAAACUAGACAGGAGAC